AUACGUAGGGUGCGAGCGUUAAUCGGAAUUACUGGGCGUAAAGCGUGCGCAGGCGGUUUUGUAAGACAGGCGUGAAAUCCCCGGGCUCAACCUGGGAAUGGCGCUUGUGACUGCAAGGCUAGAGUGCGUCAGAGGGGGGUAGAAUUCCACGUGUAGCAGUGAAAUGCGUAGAGAUGUGGAGGAAUACCGAUGGCGAAGGCAGCCCCCUGGGACGAGACUGACGCUCAUGCACGAAAGCGUGGGGAGCAAACAGGAUUAGAAACCCGGGUAGUCC
This 274-nucleotide ribosomal RNA is filed under the name uncultured bacterium. RNAcentral describes it as "partial 16S ribosomal RNA". It matches the Rfam family "Bacterial small subunit ribosomal RNA", at positions 523 to 796 of the family's 1533-position model. The record is from RNAcentral.